ACGCAGCGCGGUUGCUGGGCACCUCGACUAUCACCUGACCGUAGUAAUAUCUCCCGCUACGCGCGUUGUGACCAAUGCUGCAUACAGGAGAUGAGGGAGGACGGCCAGACACCUGGAAGCCGGAAAAUGGACUCAGUGGCCUUUGAGGAUGUGGCAGUGAACUUCACCCAGGAGGAGUGGGCUUUGCUGGAUCCUUGGCAGAAAAAACUCUACAGAGAUGUGAUGCUGGAAACCUAUAGGAACCUGGCUUCAGUAGGUGAUGACGACAACAUUCCUUCACUUAGAGAACAAGUUGCCCAUCAACGAUAUUUCAAGACCUGGCAUGUGGAAAGGGAAUACUUCAGUAAAUAAACCAAGCAUGGUGACAGCUAAUUAGAUCUAGAAUCUAAUAGUUUUUCUAUAAUUAAUAAUGAUUUCCAAUGAUUUUUCUGGGUCUGCAUCAUAGGGAAAAAAUGUGAAGAGCAUAACAUUGAAGAUCAGUCCAAAAACCAAGAAAGAAGUCUAAGGCACAUCAGAUCUCACACUGGACACAAACCAUAUGAGUGUCAAGAUUAUGGAGAAAAGCCGUAUAGAUGUAAGGAAUGUGGGAAGGCCUUCAGUUAUUUCCAGUCAUUUAAAAAACAUGAAAGAAAUCACAGUGAAGAGAAACCCUAUAAAUGUAAACAAUGUGGGAAACCCUUCAGUUAUCGUCAAUCUGUUCUUAGACAUGAAAGGACUCACACUGGAGAAAAGCCCUAUGAAUGUAAAAAAUGUGGAAAAACCUUCAGUACUCUUACAGGUUUCCAAAUACAUGAAAGAACUCACACUAGAGAGAAACCCUAUGAAUGUAAGGAAUGUGGAAAAGCCUUUAUUUACCUUGCAAGCUUUCAAAGACACAUGAUAAUGCACAGUGGAGAUGGACCUUAUAAAUGCGAGGAGUGUGGAAAAGCAUUCAGUUGUCCUAGUUCAUUUCAAGUACCUGAACGAAUUCACACUAGAGAAAAACCAUAUGAAUGUAAACAAUGUGGUAAAGCCUUCAGUUGGCUUGGUUCCUUUCGAGUACAUGAAAGAACUCACACUGGAGAGAAACCCUGUGAAUGUAACGAAUGUGGGAAAGCCUUCAUUUAUCGAACUACGUUAAAAGGACACAUGAAUAUUCACACUGGAGAGAAACCUUAUAAAUGUGAACAAUGUGAGAAAGCCUUCCUUUCUCUUGCAAGCUUUCAAAUGCACAUGAUAAUGCAUACUGGAGAUGCACCUUAUAAAUGUAACGAAUGUGGGAAAGCAUUCAAUUGUCUUAAUUCAUUUCAAAUCCAUGAAAGGACUCACACUGGAGAGAAACCGUAUGAAUGUAAACAAUGUGGUAAAGCCUUCAGUUGUUCCAGUUCCUUUAGAAUACAUGAAAGAAGUCAUAGUGGAGAGAAACCCCACGUAUGUAAACGAUGUGGUAAAGCCUUCAUUUGGCACAAUUCCUUUUGAAUACAUGAAAGAACCCACACUGGAGAGAAACCCUAUGUAUGCAAGCAGUGUGGCAAAGCUUUCAUUUAUUGUACAACUUUUCAAGGACACAUGAGAAUGCACACUGGAGAGAAGCCCUAUAAAGUGUAAAGAAUGUGGAAAAGCCUUCAGUCAUCCCAGUUCAUUUAGAAGCCAUGAAAAAAUACACCCUGGCAGAAAACUUCUUGAAUGUAAGUAAAGUGGGAGUUUUCAACUUGCCCACCUCCUUACAAAAACAUGCAAUAAGAAUGUGCUAGAUAUAAAGCUUACAAAUGUGAGAAAUACAGGAAGUUUUUCAGUUUUAACAAAUACUGUCAAAGUCAUGUGAAAAUUCUCACUAGAAAGAAAUCCAAUAAAGGCAAGUUGAGGCAUACCUGUUUGUUAUUCAGGAAUUUGCUAUAAGGUUAUACUGGGGGAGGGGGUGCCAUGUUUAAAUUCAAUGGUAUCUUAAGGUAAAACUGUAAUUUAAGCCCCAGUAUUGAUUAAGGACAUGGAAAUUUGCCAACUGAUGCAUUUCAACGGAUGUUGAAGUUAAUUCGGAGCCUGUUUUGUAGAGGUGUGAAACCCAGUCAGCACCCAUUUAUUUUUUUGCUGUUAUUUUAAUAAACUUUGGAUUUCUAAUUUGAUCAAA
Long non-coding RNA from Homo sapiens (human), 2107 nucleotides. Lineage: Eukaryota; Metazoa; Chordata; Mammalia; Primates; Hominidae. The record is from Ensembl.